CCAACCAACCAACCAACCAACCAACCAACCAACCAAUCAAUCAAUCAAUGCAUGUUUCCGUUUCAUGCGUUAAAUACGGGAUCCAAUUUUGAGCCUAUCCAACGUGUUUAAGCAACAUGUUUAAGCAACGUGUUUAACCAACCAACCAACCAACCAACUAAUCAACCAAUCAAUCAAUCAAUCAAUCAAUCAAUCAAUCAAUCAAUCAAUCAAUCAAUCAUGAUCAUGAUCAAUAAAUCAUGUUUCAUGAAAAAUCGAAAUUUAAUAUUGUUCUUGCGUCACUUCUGAAAAAAAAAUCCACAUGUACUCUGAAACUACAAAUACAAUCGACCUCAAAAUUUGCAGUCAGCAGGGCAUACAUGUACUAAAAGUUUAUAAAAAAACUUGGUGCAGAUAUCUCUCAAAGCUUUUCCUAGAGAAAAGAAAUUGCAAUGCCGUAAAAAUUGCUUGCUAGGUCCGUAAAUUUCAGUAAAAGCCUACAAUAAAAUGUCCGCUCCGAGAUUGAAAUACUAAUCUGUGUUACAAACAGGUGCUGAAAAAUGUACAUUAUCAGAAAAUAAUCAAUAAAUGUGUUUUAAAGUUACACCGGAUCAAAUAAAUCCAAAUCAUGCACUGCUUGUGAACUGUCAUCAAAAUGUCAAUUUCCUACAAUGACAAAAGAAAUUACAUUGUGUGCAUUCCGUCUCUAUACAUGUUGUCUGUUCAAAGUCCCCACCUAAAAAGGAAUAAAAAGACUAUCUUUUCGUUAUUAUAAACCCGUGUCACGUGAUGUGGCGCGCGCGCUGUACCUAAAAUAAAAGAAAAACUUUCCAAACUAAACAUGAAACUUCUCCGGUAACAAUAAUAUAGACCCCAUACAGAAACAAACAAACAAACAAACAAACAAACAAACCCCCCCCCCCCCAAUUCAAUUAAUUUUAAAGGGGGAAAGACCCCCUACAAUUGCUUUUUUAAAGCAAUUGAUUUAUAUUGUAAAAAACCUUUUUAACCAUUCUGUUCCGUUAAUAAAAAAAAAAAAAAAUCUCCCCGAGACCCCCUUUUGCCCCCCCCUUUUUUUUUAACCCUCCACUUACAACUGAAUGUAGGUUGUGUGCUAUCUAUCCUAUCAACGUAAAACGAACGACAACUCCAGUUUUUUCCAUAUUAUUAGGUCUUUCCACUUUUCUGUGGAAAGCCUAUUGUAUUUGUUCUGAUUAUUAUUACUUUUCUUUAUUAUUUGUUUAUUAUUUUUUUUUUUUUUUUUUUUUCUUCCGCCAAAUUUUGUUCUUGCGAUAAAUGUUUGUUUCGCAAUAUGUCGCUUAGAUUUUUUUCAUAUUGUAUCGUAUAGUUUAUGCGCUUUUAAAUUUCACCCUGCUAAGCCGAACCAUUUUCUUUGUAAGAGUUAUCUCCCUAUUCACUGUUUGUCAUGUGUGUGCAUCUCCUUCGUAACAAAAUAAGAAAGCGACAAAAUUCUUUUUACAAAUUGUUCGUUACAUCCUCAGGAAUUUUUGGCUAAUUUGGAUCGAAGCGAUUCGAUGAAAUUUUAUAGGAGUUAUGUACCUUUACGGAAUAAAUUUGUCGGUAUGUUUUUUUAACUCAUAAACCGUUAACCGUAUAACCCUGGAAUGUUUUUAUUUGAGUCCCCUGGGUCCUAACUUAGAAAAUUAGGUCAAGGUCAAAGGUCAAGGUCAUAUUUUAGAUUUUCAUAUCGCUUUGAUUUCCCUAUAAUUCUUGAAUGGUUAUAGAUACAAAAAA
This 1734-nucleotide long non-coding RNA is filed under the name Mytilus galloprovincialis (Mediterranean mussel). The record is from RNAcentral. Lineage: Eukaryota; Metazoa; Mollusca; Bivalvia; Mytilida; Mytilidae.